UUCUUAAAAAGGCAGCUCUUAUCCCUUAAAGAAUUUACUAUUUGAUUAAAAAGAAAAAAUUCACUUCACCACUUGACGGUGCACACGUAGACUUAGAAGGUGUCCUAGGCACUGACUGGAAUUCACACUACCCUCCAUAAUUAUCACGAUACAAUCAAAAGAAAGCCUUGCAAGGAGGCCAAGCUCAAGGUAAGCCUGGAUAACAGGCAGGAUUUCUAAAGGAGGAUGUUUGCUAAUAAAGUGGACCUUUUGAAGAACAGAAAAAACAGCAAAGACUGUUCCUGUAAGAGAAACCAGAAAGGGGAGAUGAGGAUAUGAAAACAAAUAAAAAACUUAAGAAUGCCAAACAAGACCCAUGAACUUUUUAAGUCAACAACAGACUUAAGAAGAUCAUGAGGAAGGGGAAUGAAUUUCAGAGGACUGUUCAGUGCAUCCCGAGAGAUCAGACAACAAAAAGAGAGAGGCGAGAAUGCGGCCACAAGCCCGACAGCAGUGGAGCAGCAGCAGCAGCCGCCGCAAGGAAGCGAGAGAAAGGAGGAAAACCCAGCAGGAUCCGAGUAUCAAUCAGACAUGCCGGAAUAGGCACACAAAGGAACUUCGUUGUUUCUAAUUAGAACAAUUUAUCACUGCAGCGGCGCUGGCUCUGGAAAGAAGACAUUUUAUAAAAGAUGCCGUUGGAUAGGUCAGAUUCAGCCAACACAACCCGCUGCAACGUGUCUGGACCUGCCCUUACAGCUAGCGCGGCCCAGAGCCGGUGGCCUGGCUGGUAACAGGGUGACCUUUAUCGGGGCUUCGCCUGGGAAGGGGGAAACAGAGUCGGGAGGGCACCCAGUGAUCAAAAAUAACUUCAAUUUUCUCACAGACUCUCGCCAGUUCAGGCUGACAAACUUACGAGGGGAAACUGACAACAGAAGAUGUUGGAACCAAAAUCAAAGGAUGGCGCAGUUACGUAAUGAGAAACCUUCGUAAUUCAUGAAUUCUACUGACUGACUUAGCGAGAGGACCAUUAAAUUACCUACUCUCAAGGAACUGAGCAUAGUCCCUUGCUCUCAAAUUUGUUUAUGAAGGUAAUAAACAAAGAUCAGUUCCUCAUUCUGUCACUGUAAUCUCAUUCACAGACCCCGAGCGCUGCGGGCAGGGACAGUGCGCACAUGCUGUGUGCAGCAGGUACACGGAGCCCAGUGGAUCAAAGCCACCGGCAGGUGCUGAGUGUCGGACAGCACCUGUUCAUUAACAUUUACCCCAAAGAAGGGAUGUGAAAAGGAAUGGUAACAAGCAGAUGGAACAAGUUGGGUUGAUAGAAAAGUUUCAUCGUCUACAAAUGACAAUCCUUAUAAUGAGGGUUAUUAAGAGGAUUGCACACACUCACAGACGAGAAGAUGCUCGGAACAGAUGGGGAACACAGAAAGCAGUAAGUAUUACUCUUCUUUGUUUAUAUGGUUGAUACAAAUUUCCUCAUACAUAACCAACUUUCAGCACGCUUUCAAAUGCCUGCUUAGGCAUCCAAACU
Molecule: long non-coding RNA, 1510 nt
Organism: Talpa occidentalis (Iberian mole)
Lineage: Eukaryota; Metazoa; Chordata; Mammalia; Eulipotyphla; Talpidae
Exons: 3
Source: RefSeq, a predicted model, not a curated record